Molecule: ribosomal RNA, 162 nt
Filed under: uncultured bacterium
Lineage: Bacteria
Description: partial 16S ribosomal RNA
Rfam family: Bacterial small subunit ribosomal RNA
Source: RNAcentral
CCGCGGUAAAACCGGUUACUCCUACGGGAGGCAGCAGUGGGGAAUAUUGGACAAUGGGGGAAACCCUGAUCCAGCCAUGCCGCGUGUGUGAUGAAGGCCUUCGGGUUGUAAAGCACUUUCGCACGUGACGCGGUAACGUGAGAAGAAGCCCCGGCUAACUUC